AAUCUCAACAAAAUAGGACAUGGGCUUCCCCCUCUCCGAGACGCGGCAGCAUGGGAUAGCGGCCAGGAGGUCGGAGUUGAAAGAGGUCCGACGGUGCUCUGCGUCGGGGAAAGUUGUACAGACUCGCAGCAGCAGAUGCAGCAGCGCAUUUGGAAGGGGAUCGGAGGGUCCGAGGCUCUGCUUUGCACAGCACCGCGAUUUGCCAUUGAGGAAACGCAAGGGGCGUUUGGGGGGCAGCAGGACUAUUUAUUGUCUGAGAGGGUGUUGUAAGUGGUGGAAGUUAUAGAGUGGGAGGAGGGGGAGGAGGAGCAAGCACGACGUGAAUUCUCCGGAAUAUGGGUACUCUCUCGGAUGCCUUUGGUCUUCACCUCUCCACCGCCUCGGGGGACCCUGGUGGCUGCGGUAUCCAACGAACGGUGGAACAUAUUUUCUCAAGAGACCGAUGUAACGAUGAUGUGGAAACGCAUCGCUGCAUUCUGAACUUUCUCGCUAUGCGCGAACUUUUCACCCAUGAGGAAGUGGAACAGGCUUUAGUGAUGCUCGGAUGGAAGCCUAUCACCAAACGAGGAGGUUGGCGCCGCUUCUUCAAAAUUGAAGAGCCAAACUUGCCUCACGGUUUGCCUACAAUAGCCAAACUGCCUGCGCGCUCUUUCGUGGAUGCUCCGAAACACAUGAUUCUUGACUUCGUCAGAACUGUCAAUAAGCGAGAAAAUCGAAAUGUGUUUUGCUGCUGGGAACACAGGGGAGCAUUGUUAGUUUGUGCGGGAGAUCGGUCGAUUCUCAAUUAGACUUCGUGUUAAUUUUGUAUAUAUUAGCUCCGAAGAUCACCAUUACAUUUUAAGUUAAUGUUGUAACAACGUGAAAGAACCAUGGCCACGUUACGUUCUUACUUGAACUUAAAGAUCUGUUCAAGAAGCUGUCUGAUGGCCCGAGGAGGGCUUCAGUUCGCCAGAUGAUUUGGAAAUGAUGAACAAAGGCACGCACACCUGAUUGAAAUGUUGAGUAGGUGUUUCUCUAAGGCCCAUUGCCACCGAACCCAUUCUGUCUUCACUUUGUAGUACAUCGGUUGGGUAUUGGAGAACUGUUACAGUUUUUCACUUAUAUGAAUGCCACAGUGCUACGGAACAUAGAUGAUUGUGGGUGGCGCCGAUGAUGCAUGCACAGGAGUGCAGAAGCCGAGCGAAGACCAAAUUUUGAAAUGCAACGUUCUAUCUUCUACUUCCACAGUUAGGGCAGUGAAACAGUUCAAUACUGGCUUGAAUUGCCACAGUUAGGAUAGGCUUAAAUUUCUGCAGUUCUGAUAUAUGCUGAAAUGUUCCAGUCGGUCGCUCUAUUUUGUG
This is a non-coding RNA of Physcomitrium patens, 1340 nucleotides long. The record is from RefSeq and is a predicted model, not a curated record. NCBI's taxonomy places the organism in Eukaryota, Viridiplantae, Streptophyta, Bryopsida, Funariales, Funariaceae.